Long non-coding RNA from Passer montanus (Eurasian tree sparrow), 1166 nucleotides. RefSeq lists it as uncharacterized. The transcript has 4 exons. The record is from RefSeq and is a predicted model, not a curated record. NCBI's taxonomy places the organism in Eukaryota, Metazoa, Chordata, Aves, Passeriformes, Passeridae.
UGCUACAAUGCAACACAAAAAUCUACAGGUCAUUUUUUGCCUUGAAAAUAAUUUUUUAAAGUCUUGAAAUUAAUUUAAACUUACUGAAAAUUGGGCAAACUAACUCAGAUACUACAGUUUCAACAUUUGUUUGCUAUCUCUAGCUUAGCUAGUGUGAGGUGCUGGGAAAUGAGGCAGGAAUCCAAAUAAUCGUAUUCUGGAAGAGUAAAAAUGUGAAUCUGAAAUGCAAAAGCAUUUGUGGUGCUUUCUAAAGGCAUGAUGUAAACAACAAAUGGGAAAACUGUACCAUCAAAAUUCAGACACUGAGAGUUCAACAGUCGUGAGAUAAAAGGCCAAAUGGGAAUUUCACUUGAUGGAACACAUUAGAUACUCUUCUGUUGUGGGCUGCCAGUAGUGCAGCAGAAAUGCCAGAAGGAGAGGUAUUAGUUAGAAAAUUCAGAGCAACUGCAGCCUACAUUUCUGGAACUGGACAACUUUAAUCAGACCUGGUGCAAGAGAAGGGCCAAGCCUUCAAAAGCAGGUGUUGGAGGCUUUCAGAGUCCACAAUUUAUCACCCUAUCAUAUUCCAGAGAAAAUCACUGCAGAGUUGCACAUUCGUCAUGGCUUUGUGUUUUUUUAGAAGAAGAACAGUAACUGUAAAAACUUGCUCUUGCAUAUUCAAAAAUGUCUUUGAAAACAUUUGUGCAAAGAAGGAAGUAACUGCAGAGAGUCAUUUCAGACACUUCAGUUUUCAGUAGAAAUGCAUAAACUGCUGAGAGGGGGCUGAACUGGUGGUAGGGUGAACAUUCUUUAGAAACAGUACAAAAUUACACUGAACUCACAUGUUGAACAUGCAGGGCCUAGCUGCAGAAACCUGCUGAGGUCAAUUAAAAUCUUGAUAUUAAUUUUCAUAGGUUUCAGAUUAACCUCAUCUUUAUUUUGUGGAAUUACAUUAUGAUGGAUUUAUUUUAUCCUCAGGCUUACAUGCUUCUGUCUUCACACUUAUUGUUAAAUCUUCCAAUAAUGCUGGUUUUAAUUUGGCAUUCAAAUUCUGUUCCUCCCUGUGAGAAAUAUGUGUAUAAUACAAAUAAAAGCCAGGAAAUGGUUAUCUGAAGAUGGUGUUCUAAAGAAGAAAAGGUUGUCUGAAGAAAUGUUCUAAAAUGCUGGCUUUUGUUUGAUGGAAAUAU